This 70-nucleotide transfer RNA is filed under the name Bison bonasus (European bison). RNAcentral's name for it is "tRNA-Asp". The record is from RNAcentral. Lineage: Eukaryota; Metazoa; Chordata; Mammalia; Artiodactyla; Bovidae.
GCGAGGUGUUAGUAAAACGUUAUAUAACUUUGUCAAAGUUAAGUUACAAGUGAAAGCCCUGUACACCUCA